UCUACGGGUGGCUGCAGUAGGGAAUAUUGCUCAAUGGGGGAAACCCUGAAGCAGCAACGCCGCGUGGAGGAUGAAGGUUUUCGGAUUGUAAACUUCUUUUGUUAGAGAAGAUAAUGACGGUAUCUAAGGAAUAAGCACCGGCUACCUCCGGGCCAGCUGCAGCGGUAAUACGGAGGGUGCAAGCGUUAUUCGCAAGCACUGGGCGUAAAGAGCGCGUAGGCCGGAUAGCAAGUCAGCUGUGAAAUCCUAUUGCGUAACCAUAGAACUGCAUUUGAAACUGUUAUUCUAGAGUAUGGGAGAGGUAGGUGGAAUUCUUGGUGUAGGGGUAAAAUCCGUAGAGAUCAAGAGGAAUACUCAUUGCGAAGGCGACCUGCUAGAACAUAACUGACGCUGAUGCGCGAAAGCGUGGGGAGCAAACAGGAUUAGAUACCCGAGUAGUC
Molecule: ribosomal RNA, 440 nt
Filed under: uncultured bacterium
Lineage: Bacteria
Description: partial 16S ribosomal RNA
Rfam family: Bacterial small subunit ribosomal RNA
Source: RNAcentral